This 346-nucleotide ribosomal RNA is filed under the name uncultured fungus. RNAcentral describes it as "SSU rRNA". It matches the Rfam family "Eukaryotic small subunit ribosomal RNA", at positions 20 to 371 of the family's 1831-position model. Lineage: Eukaryota; Fungi. The record is from RNAcentral.
GUAGUCAUAUGCUUGUCUCAAAGAUUAAGCCAUGCAUGUCUAAGUAUAAGCAAUUAUACCGUGAAACUGCGAAUGGCUCAUUAAAUCAGUUAUCGUUUAUUUGAUAGUACCUUACUACUUGGAUAACCGUGGUAAUUCUAGAGCUAAUACAUGCUAAAAACCCCAACUUCGGGAGGGGUGUAUUUAUUAGAUAAAAAACCAACGCCCUUCGGGGCUUCUUGGUGAUUCAUGAUAACUUAACGGAUCGCAUGGCCUUGCGCCGGCGACGGUUCAUUCAAAUUUCUGCCCUAUCAACUUUCGAUGGUAAGGUAUUGGCUUACCAUGGUCGCAACGGGUACGGGGAAUA